Platichthys flesus (European flounder) is the source of this 405-nucleotide long non-coding RNA. RefSeq lists it as uncharacterized. NCBI's taxonomy places the organism in Eukaryota, Metazoa, Chordata, Actinopteri, Pleuronectiformes, Pleuronectidae. The record is from RefSeq and is a predicted model, not a curated record. The transcript is spliced from 2 exons.
CUCAGGAACCUGUAUCCGAGCCCGAGGCCCAGAGCCGCGGCUCCGACCCCGAGCACCAGAGCCGCGGCUCGAUCCUGGACCAGAGACUUCACGUCCAUGUUUGGUGUCCCUGCGACUUCCGGAGUGUGGACUAGUGGCAGUAACAGGACUAUGGGCAGAGAAGGUCUCUGGUUCGACUCCAUGGAGAAACAACAAAAAGACGAACCUGGAUUGAUCUGCCCAAAAAUCCAAGAGGAUUCUCCCUGCCCUGUCUAGUGCCCCUGAGCAAGGCACCUUACUCCCCCAACAUCUGCUCCCCGGGCGCCGUACAUGGUCGCUCACUGCUCUGUGUGUCCUGAACCAGAUGGGUCAAAAGCAGAGGUUACAUUUCCCUACCUGGGACAAAUAAAUGUAUUUUAAUCUUAA